RNAcentral lists this transfer RNA (75 nucleotides) under Methanotrichaceae archaeon. Its description in RNAcentral is "tRNA-Arg". It matches the Rfam family "tRNA". Rfam says of the family: Transfer RNA (tRNA) molecules are approximately 80 nucleotides in length. Their secondary structure includes four short double-helical elements and three loops (D, anti-codon, and T loops). Further hydrogen bonds mediate the characteristic L-shaped molecular structure. tRNAs have two regions of fundamental functional importance: the anti-codon, which is responsible for specific mRNA codon recognition, and the 3' end, to which the tRNAs corresponding amino acid is attached (by aminoacyl-tRNA synthetases). tRNAs cope with the degeneracy of the genetic code in two manners: having more than one tRNA (with a specific anti-codon) for a particular amino acid; and 'wobble' base-pairing, i.e. permitting non-standard base-pairing at the 3rd anti-codon position. Lineage: Archaea; Methanobacteriati; Methanobacteriota; Methanomicrobia; Methanotrichales; Methanotrichaceae. The record is from RNAcentral.
GGGCGUGUAGCCCAGCCAGGAUAAGGCGGCAGCCUCCUAAGCUGUAGAUCGGGGGUUCGAAUCCCCCCACGCCCG